GCGCACCCCUGUUUAUAAUGAUGGGGAACUCUGAACUGUCAGCGGUCGGUUAUCAAAACAUUGGCCAAAUAACCAGACUGUGCCAGACUCUCAAUAAAACAUUUAGGACAAAUCCACGGUCAUGAAGAUACUCAUCUAACGUUACAUAGAAUCUGCGUGAGGAAGAGGAGCAGGAAGAGGAGGAGGGUCCAUGUCGCUAAAUACCAACUUUCCAAAGACCACUUUUCCCACCCGGUGUCGCUCCGAUCUGCCGGCGCAUCGCGAAGAAAACCAAUCGGGUGUCUGGAUGCUAAAUGUUUAUACAUCUCAUCCAAACACAAUCACAUUCACUCCGUCCGCAUAGCGCCAUUUAUCUAGAUGGGUUUUUUGUCUUUUCACUGUUUUUAAAAUGUAAGGAGUAAAAAGUGCAGAUAUUUGCGUGAAAAUGUAAGGAGUAGAAGUAAAAAGUCGUUGUGAAAAAUAAAUACUCCAGUAAAGUAUAGAUACCCAAAAUUUCUACUUAAGUACAGUAACGAAGUAUUUGUACUUCGUUACUUGACACGUCUGGUGCAGAUCUACUUCACCUUAUAGAACCUUUCAAUUCUCACUUUAUGCAAUGAUCCUUUGCAGAUUUGAUCAGCAUCUUACAGUCCAGGAAGUCGGAUAGUGGCCCGGAGUCCUUAAGUUUGAUUUGGUUUGACGAAUGCCGGAGAUACUCUGUUUUGUUUCGUUGGUUUAUUAAAACUUCUACAAAGACACCCUCUGCCUCUUGACUACUGCGCUGCCAUUUAUUCGGAAUCCUUCGUGCCAUGCUGUUACGGUAUAUUUACAGUAUAUAUUUUAUAUAUUUAUAUACUAAUUUGAUGGCAAGUGGUACAACGACGCAGUAGAAAUGGAGGUUAAAUGCCCCAUUUGAUGCUAGCAACAGAAAAAUGCAUUGGGACAAGCUUCACCUCUAUUUUAAUGUAUAUAGGCCUAUUUGUUUGAGAAGUUAGCUGUUCAAUAAGGCAAUGCUAUCUCAAGGGAAGACUUUAGCCAAGGGUGCUGCAGUACAAAUUUACCAACAAGAGCAAGACACACUGGCUAAUAUAUGUGGGUUUUUUUUUACGUUACUUGUAACCCCUCUAAAUACCCUAUUCAACUAAUGAUACACUUGGCCAGCCAGCCAGGUUAGCUUUGGCUGACCAAAUUACUGGCUAACCUUCCUGGUGUUGGUAGUUGGCCAGUUAGCUGCGCAUGCUAACAUAUUAAGCCCAGGCAGGACACACAUAACCCAUUCCUUACUUUAGCUGUGCUCUUAGUUGUGUAACAUGGCUCUUAAGAUAUCACAAUUAAUACACAACUGUGAAAACCACGAGUCGGUGAAAAUAGCACUCAUAUAGAGUGACAUAUUCAAAGCACAGGCCCAGCCCGAGCUAGUAGCUGUGGGUCAACACACAAUAUCAUAGCCUUCAUACCAGACAUCAUACCUUCUAUGCCCUGCAGUGCUAAUUUAAUCUUUGUUACUAUGAUGUUCAACAUGCAGACAGAACACACAUAGGCCUAUAUAUGACGUGACUUCGGGCCAUUCUACCAAAAACAGAUUUCCUUGUUAUUUUCCAUCAAAUUAAAUCCAUUUUAUUUAGUGACAUCGCAAUUUGUGCGUGACACUAAUGCAAUUUUAUUUCAGAAUUUAAAAUCGGUGUGGGAUUGGGAUCGUCCACCUCAGUGUCUUUGAUGUUGCAGGAUCUCCCAUUUUUGUGGUCAGAUUUAUAUUUGAAAGGACAAUCCGUUCCACUUUCGGCCUCCUUUCGAAGGGGGCAAAAGUGAUCUUAAAACUUACAGUGUUGAUUGAUUUUAAUGAGACUACGACCUUUCAAGGAAACCCAACAAUAAGUGGGAUGGCUGAUUUAAACAGAAUCCAUAUCAAAGAAGCCCCGGGUUGCAACAGUGAACGCAGCUCACCGCAAGAAGAUGAGAAACUCAUUAUUCUGUGAUUCUGUGACUUGCACAGAAAGUCUAAUGCAGAGAGAACUGGAGAGAAAAGAGAAGGGGGGAGGGGGUGGGGGGGCGUCAGCAGAGAAAACAAGUGCGAAAGAGAGAUUUUAAAUGAUCAAGAUUCUAGUCGCAAAACAUUAGGGUUUAUGGUUGGGAUUUUUACUUGGAGCAAACAAGACUCCGCAACUCUUCCAGCUGCCAAGCAUGUUGCAUCAUGAAAACAAUAAAGCCUCAGAGGGACGUGUUGAACAGUAGGAGGGAUGGGAACAGCAUCAAACCAUGCAUCCAACUGUUCUGUGCACUGCAAUUGCAGAUUUUUUAGCAGAACAAUUCACUUUACAGACUACAUAUGUUGUUCUGCAGGUUUAUGUCUCCAUAUCUCAGGCAUUAAUAAGCUAUACAGGUGAUAAUGAAUGAUAACAACGUAGCAGAAUAUAAUUUAAAUUAGGCUGCUGCUGUGAUCCUCGUGUGCAUCAGAGCACACAGCUCAGCUCGAAUAGGAAUACAAAUGGCCUUUUCUGCAUUAAUCCCAGACAAAGAGAUUGAAUUGCAAAUGCACUAAAUAACUGUUAAAGGUUUUGAAUGACAAUCUGUUUUUUCCCCUCCUCUACUGCCUUUUUUAACACAAAUAAUUGAUUUAAACUAUUUCAGUGCAUUGACCACGCUGUCAUGUUGUGUAUGUGAGGGACACUUUAUUGACAGACCCACUCCUCCUUUUUUAGGAGAAGCAUCUGAUUGAACAGGACAAUGUUUUUGAGGUCCAUUGUACCUGGUUUUUCACUACAUAUUCUAACGAGGCUGAAAGUCAACAGCUUUGAUGCUCUGUGCUUUCAGCCAAAUGCAUUAUAAUCUGCUCACAAUUAUUACUUAAAUUGAGCAGUAUUUGCAUUAAUUGCUGUAAAAGUUACUACAGUUGAAGCUGUUGUCAAUAUUGUUAGAAAAAAGAUUUCACCAUUUUAUUCAAUUUAAUUUAUUGUUUUUUUAACCUCCAGACUUAAUGAUCUUUAAUUAUGCAGAUCCAAUCUACGUGAGCAUGGCAACCAAGGAUAACUUCUUUAACAAUUAAACAGCACAUAUUUUGUUUUAAAUCUGUAACAGCUGAUAAAUCAUCUGCAUCAGCGGACCUCAUUUGACCUAGUGUGAAUGUCACUGUGUGUGUUUUUCUGCCCCGGGUCUGCAGUUUAGAGAUUCUACACCUUCUUGAAUGAUGACACGGGUCAGCCGAGCUUCUAUAUUCGUUCUACGCAGAACAGCACCCCCACGGCGGCUAUUUAAAGCAAACUAGAUCUCUGUCUACACAUUACAUAACGCACAUGAAAGGAUGUACUUAACUUCCAUCUUGUAUCACUGACAUGUUAAGCGGUCGAAGUGUGAUUCAAUAUCAGCUGUUAAAGAGUCUGUUGCUGCUUAUAAGCAUAAUCUUUUAUUGAGGGUGUCAUCUGAAGGUCUUUUAGGAGUUGCUGACCCUUAAUGGUCAUUUAAAUCUCCAUUGAAUGGAAUAAAUAUUCAUUUGUUCAGAUCACCUAUGAUCAUCGCCAUGUGUGCAUGCUUCAACGGGUGUGCAGCUAUCCAGAGAUACGGUGUUGGGGUUAUAGUUUGCCUCCACCCAAGUUAUUGUUUUGGGCAACGCGUUUGCCAAAAAGAAAGAAAUAGAAGAAAAAACAGAACGAUCAGCAGACACACGCUGCUAGGUACAUUGCCGCCAGCCACUGCAACGGGAGAAGGCGUCACUAGAAUAAUUAAUUUUCUUGCAAGUUCACAUUUAAUGUCCUGUAUGCUGUCCUGCAAACAUUGGUGUUUGUUUUUGAGUUGAAAUGAAUCGUGUUUUUAGCUGCCAUUAGUAUCUAGACCUUUUGGUUUAGUUUUUUUUAACAAGUCCUGAGGUUGCAUCAAGUUCAUCACCUUUGAUAUUGUAGCCUAGUGUAUACAUCACUAUUAGGCAUCUUUUCAGCAGAUAUUUCUGCUAAUAUAUAAUAUUUCAAUUUAAUCCAGACUGAUUUUAAUUUAGAUUUCAGGGGGUAGGGGGCAGGUUUCCAGAUUAUCAACUGAAAUCAGCAUUUACUUCGGGAAAAAGUAUUUUAAAAAAUGUGACUUUCAACCAUUUGAUGACAAAGAGAAAAUGAAAAUCAUAAAAUGUGAUGAAGUGAAUUAGGCAAAAAGCAGCAGCUAAUGGUGAUAUUUUCCUUUAAACGGACACUUAAAUCUGCUCACGUCUUCUCGGAUGAUUUGAUUCCACACCUGCCAACUUUUAUUCCCUUCCCUUCUAACCAGGCAAUAUCCUGGUAAUGUUCUGUCUGGCUUUUGAGCGGCGACAUAAACUCACACUAGCUGGGUUUUUUUUCACAUGAUUUGUCAUGUAAGGUACUUUAUGAAGGGACAAUAACAUUUUAAAAGAUAUACCCACACAGUUUUGUUUAAUCAUUUGAGGGUUGAAUACUGAUUUGGUUAAACACAUUACAUACCCUGGGCAUUUCUGUUGUGUCAAGAUUUCUUGAAAGUGAAAUCAGGGCAAGGGGUAAAUGUUUGCUAAAAGGCUAAUCGCUACUCCAAAAGAGAAACAGAAAAUGUUGAGGCAGGUAUAGGCACCACAAAGCGACCUGAGAGUCUAAGCUCAGUAUGCAUUUAAAAGAAUAACCAUUUAAAUCCAAUAUGCGUAAAUUGAGCCUAGUCAUUGACAGAUAUACGCAUACACUUUCUGAGAGCACAGUUCUAUUUAAUAAAGGUCCGUCAUACGUCAUUUUGGUCAUGUUUUGGUGGUGGGCGUGCAUUGCUUUGAUUGGAAAUCAUUUUAGGGUGUGUCUUAUGCAGUGGUUAGUUUUGACAGGAAACACGUGACUGUAGGAGGAGUCUCAACAUAUAUAUAGGUGUGUUAUUCGCCAUCAACUUCAUUCUGGACUCAUCCUCUGUUGCUGUUGUUGCUGUUGCUCAAUGCAUCUACUCGAAGGCUUUUUGUACACUGACAUUACUCUGAUAUUACUCCCUUCCCACACUGACAUUCUAGUAGUAGUAUUUGUUUUAGUACUGCAGGUCUGCAUGAAGCAGCAUUGAGAAGAAAUCUUUAAUUAUGCUAAAUAUUCUUUGCUUAAAGAAAGAAGGACCAACCUUAGCGACGUUUUCAUUGAAUGCUUUUAUUUCUGAGCUACUACAGACAGUUUUCAAUUUCAAAUGUUUAAUGCAGAAAGAAAGCUUGUGAAGCUGAAGGGAGACAAAAAAAAAGUCAACUCAUCAUGGAGAAGUGAAUCAUGUAGACAUGCAAACUAUUGAUUUGGAUCAUUAUCAGGAAGUGAACAUUUCACAGAGUAUAAAUGCAUUAAGGCUUUAAGCAUUAAAGCGGAUUUAGCUGUCAGGUCAACAAUGGGCCGACAACUGAGAUCCAAUGUUAAACAAUUACAGGAACUCAGCCACUGCAGGAGGUGGUACUUGCUUUUUGUUUGACAAACUCCUGAAAGUGUACAGGAAGGCACUUGUUUUCAACUUUAUUACAAGCCACAACUACCUGAUAUUUUUCACGGCGACAAACUGUAACCUUACACUUGUCUUCGACUUUCAAAUGAUACAUAAUCAUCUUCUGAGUACUGAUGCAUAGGUUGUUCUGCUUUGGCUGGUAGAUGUCCUGUACACGGCGACCAUUGACACCACAGAUCGCCUCAACGUUUAUCUGAUCGGUCGGCUCGAGGAAGGACUGCUCCGCUCUGUUGCAGAGGCCUUUAUCCUCUAUGUACCUGUGUAAAACAUUGUUGUUUCACUGCAAAGUAGUGGCUAUUUACAAUGUAGUUUAAUAACUUUGAUAUAUGUGUAUUGAGAAGGAAAAUACAUUUUUAAAACAAUGUUUUAAGUAUGAACGGCUUUAAGUAGAGUUGACUUAGAUCGUUCACUCACCUCUUCCAUUGAACCCUUGAUGUUCUGUCAAAUUGCUUGUGAACGAAGUGUUUCUUCACAAAGUCCUUGUACUCCUGUUGGUCACUUUUUGACGUACAGGAUUGAUUUUUCCCCAGAUGGAGGAGAGCGAACAUAACGGUGAUGACCAGAAGAAUGUUCAUCUCGUCUAUGGGAAAGAGAAGGAGAGUUUUAGAGCAUUCUACUCUUCAUCCACUGAGUGCAAAACCAAAGUAUCUAAAGUAAUCAUUAUUAACAGAGUACUGUACAUUAAGGUUAUUAAUUUAAGAUCAGUAGUAGUAGUUUAAGAUUGUAAUGAUCAUCUUCUUUCUCACCUGUGCUGAUCAGCAGGCUCUGUACUGUAGAUGUUGCUCUGUUGAGUCUGCAGCAGGAUCCACUAACUGAUGUUCAAGUCUGAUAAAAACCCAACAAUAUUACACCUUUUUAAACCCACUCAUCUUGCGAAAAUUCAUCAUGACCAAACAUCAUGACAGCCAAUGGCAGUACUGCAAUCUACUCUUUGACCAUAUACAGCUAUAUAUUCUGACAUUCAACUGCAAAACAAUGAACCUCCAAUUCUAUAAAUGGGGAAGUGAACUCUUGCAUUUACAUUUUUAUCAGACUUGAACAUCAGUUAGUGAUUUCCUGGCGCAGCAUAUUCAAGUUUGUGCAAAUGCUCGCUCAUUUAGUUUUAUGUGACUAAAUGUUAAUUCACCUACACAUAUUUGUGGCUCUUUACAUUCACAUAUCAAUCUUUUUCGGUUAUGGGAAGUUUAUAACGGACCUUAAGAUAACAUGGUGACAUAAAAGUAAAUGCGAUAUAACUUAUUUAUGAUCAUUCUUUGUGAGGAAAACUCAAAUCCAGAUUGCUGAGAAAGAGAAAAAAGGAGAGAAAAGAUAAAGUAGAAAGUUUCUGCAGCAUAGAAAGCACACAGUAAAGCUGACACAUUUCAUGGAUGUCCCUUCGCCUGCACUGGGGAAUACAGGCUGGUAUCAAACCUCGCCUUGGGCUGGAACCUUUGUUCUCUGAUAUCAAACCCGCUGUAUGGGAUCAAAAUCCAAGAGUAACAUUGAAAUUCAACCAAAAUAGCAGCAGUGGCCUUUAUAAUAAAUGUUUCCCGAGCAAGACCACCCCUUUUAAUUUCAAAUGCACUAUUUCAAGACACACUAGAUCGCAGAGGAAACGGGGGGUUGAGGGGGGGGGGAUUGAAUCAAUGCCCACUUUGAAAAUAGAGCAAAAAUGUUCUACUUUGCCUCAAUUCCACCAGGCAUGAUAGUGAUGUGGCCAUGUGUGUGUGUGUGUGUGUGUGUGUGUGUGUGUGUGUGCAUGUAUGUGUGGUGUAUGGGAGGAGUGUGCAUGAAGAGCACGCUGUGUCUUGUAGUGAAUUGUAGCAGAUUCUUCCCAGGAGGGGACGUGAGGAUGAACCAAAGGGAACGUGAAGGAGGAUGGGAGGGGGGGUUGUUGGUAGCUAAGAAGCUGACAGAAACAUUAUUCAAAUGAAGCUUCCCUGCUUUCUUUUUUUCUGUCUUCCCCCUGUCGCACACUAAAACCCUGACAUUUAGUCGCAGCGAGAGAGCUGAGACAAUUCAUAAGGACUUUCCACCUUGCUCGUCUUUGGCCCUCAUGGCAUCGAAGGUCCCUGAGUCGUCCUGCGGAAUUACAUGCACCUCAGCCCCCCCGACUCAGGGGCCUCCGCUGUUUAUGAAUCAAAUAUUGGAUUUGGAACGACUCCUGUCCUCGCUGCUGCCAACCACCGUCCAACAAUAGAAAGGUCACAGUGAAGCCGGCUUAUCAGUGCGGCUACAAGGCCUGUCCACUUGCAGCAUGCUGGGCCCGGGCGCUGCUGGUGUUGAUAGUGCUCAAAAGAAAGAGGGAGAGGGUGAUGGGGGAAGGGACGGAGGGGGAAAAUGGAUGAGGAGAGAAAAGCAGCGAGAGUAAGACAUGGGUGGGGGGAGCAUUCAGCAAAUCUGUCGCCUGGACAUAUUGUGCUUUGAUGGGUUGGCUUUCAUUUUUACUGCCGUUUUUCUUUGCUGCGAAGGAGCAGUAUUAAAGUCUUCAAUCUUUAGCUGAUAUUACAGGACAGAUUGUGAUAAACAGCAGCGCGCCUUCCCGGGCCCUUUCUCACUGAACAUCUGUUGGAGCGUUGCACGGUGACAAAAGCAAUGUCAUUAUAACGUACCACCUAAACCUACAAACCACACAGCACCUCAUGGGCUCUUUGAAAAUGGGUGUUGCUUUGGCAGACGUACAGACAGGCAGGCAGAGAGUGUGUGUGUGUGUGUGUGUGUGUGUGUGUGUGUGUGUGUGUGUGUGUCUGUGUGUGUGAGGAGGAUGCACAUCGCAGUGUGUAUGAGUGUGUUUUUAGGAGCCUACAAAAUCCCAUGCGAAUGCUGUUGAGACCUUUACGUGUUGCACAAGGAAAUUACAGCUCAGUCCUGCACAUUUAAGUGGGCUGAAUCGUGUUUUCACAGAUAUAGGUUGACGUUACACAAUGGGACACACCAGUAUUUCAACACCUGUGCGCCAUGUUGCUUUACUGAUCCAUAGCAUGAAGUAGGGGACUUCAUAAAAGUGGCACUACCAUGAUAAACAUCACAGUCCACGGUUACCUACGGUCCCAGGCAGCCUAAGCUGUCCUUUUGGAAAUGGUGGGUGAUCACCACUAUAUUUAUUAUUCAUGUGCAGUUUAACGACGAAGACAGUUUGCAGUUUGGGGUUAGUUGUAUCUUGUGCUCAGUAAAAAAUUAAAAUAAACUAGACCAUGAAGUAGCACUUGCUGAACCUCACAUAACCUGUCCGACCGGGGAUCUGGGGCAAUAGGCAAUGACUCCAGGCUAAUGUUGCACAAUCCAGGGGCCUCGUCAGCCCAUGUGGCGCAACAGUGGAGAGAACGGCUUUCAUAACUUCUUCAAAGGAUCAAGGUGUGGGCCAACAUUUACAGUCCCAGGCAAGUGAUAACUUUGAGUCCCCUCCUUCAGGCCACAACUCUUUCAGAGAGAGCUACCUGGGCUCAGAGGUCAACAUGUAGAUGCACAAUGUAAUCUGCAGACAAACAGCCCAGCCCUCAGCAGAGUCAUCAAGCUCAACAUUGCAGAGUGUCUGAUGGUUGGUGAUUGAAUGCGCAUUACAGUUGAUGAGUACCACGGCGGCAGUCAUUGCCGCAUACCACGCCCGGACCUGCUGUUUGCGAUGAUUAAUUCCGCAAACACAUUAUUUGGAGAAAAAAAACACGCAGAGGAGGGUAACCGUCAAGGUUGUCGGACCGGUGGCUGGAGGCCAAGACUGGGAGACAGACGGACGAAUGCGGGGAAAAGGGCCAGAGGAGGGAGAGAGAAAAAAAAAGACAGCACGGACGGAAAGAAAGACGUAUGAGACCCCCGCAGUGAAUGAGACUGCCUACUUAUCAGCCGUGAGCGUGAUGUGCAAACAGAGGCCUUUCAGGGCUGCCAGGCACACAAUAGCUUUGUUUGCUGUGCAAUAGAAACCAGUUGUUCGCUGCUGAGUCAAUAUUUACUGCCUAAUGGAAUGUGUGCUCUGCUACUACCCCUGCUCAACAACACCAGAUUGGAAGAGGGACUCAUUACCUCCCCUCGUCUGGCUUUCACCCCCCUGCCACCCUCUGUCCCUCUUCGUCCUUCCCUCCCUCUGCUUUAUCUUACCCUUCCUAUUGUAUGGUCCUUUUACUUCCUUUACUCCCCCCUGCGUUCUUAGAGAUUUCGCCCCCCCCCCUUCCCUUCUCUAUUCUGUCCAUCCCGUAUCAUAUCUCUUUCAUCUGCACCUCCCUUCUGAGUAAACACAGUAGGGGAAGCGCCAUAGAUGGUUCGAGACUGAAAUCUAAGCUAAAACAAAAACAGGACAUCCAGAAUACUGUCGUUGUAGUAGUAAAACAAACAAGAGUAGUAGGUGAAAAAAAACUAAAAUAAAUAGCAAGAGUGGACAAUCUUCUGUUCAUGGAGGCCAAUAACCCACCAAGGCUGCAGCUCUAACAGAGAGAGAGAGAGAUAGCUUAGCGAUGAGAUCACUGUGCUGACAGAAUGAUCUCUUUGUGCUGGAGCCCGAUGGUAGGCAGUAAAUGCAUCACAUGUGGUAUUUACACCGUUGCUGCUGAUAAACAGCAGCUGAUAACAAUUUUCUUAAAGGUGCAUGCAAAGCAAAUGGAUGUAAAAAAAAAACGCUCCCUGCUUUGCGUCGAUUCAGCACCUGAAUGUUGAACCAUCAACCUUGCACACAAAUGCACACCUUUGCCCAGGUGUGGCAGGAUAACUGGAGGCAUUACACACUUGUCCGAAUCCAUUUGAUUUUUUCUUUUUUCAAUCACCACUGCGACAAUCCAUCCCUUUCAGUCAUGCUUCAGUAUCGUUUCCCUACAGCUUCAAGGAUUACUGAGGAGAGUACAGUUGUGGGAGUGAUGGUGUGUGUAGGUAUGUGUGUGUGUGUGUGUGUGCGUGACUGUG
This is a long non-coding RNA of Gasterosteus aculeatus aculeatus (three-spined stickleback), 10287 nucleotides long. The record is from Ensembl. NCBI's taxonomy places the organism in Eukaryota, Metazoa, Chordata, Actinopteri, Perciformes, Gasterosteidae.